Long non-coding RNA from Vespa crabro (European hornet), 2945 nucleotides. RefSeq lists it as uncharacterized. Lineage: Eukaryota; Metazoa; Arthropoda; Insecta; Hymenoptera; Vespidae. The transcript has 3 exons. The record is from RefSeq and is a predicted model, not a curated record.
AGUAUAUAAGCGGCAUCGCAUACGCCUACCACAAGCCAUAAUUCGACCAAUCACAAUCAUCAUCGAAGAAAUUACGCGAAAAUAUAAUUCUUAUGUAUUGAGUGCUGUUUACUGCAUCUUUAUUUUUGUGUUAAUUUGUUUUAGUAUAAGUAUACAUUGAUAAUAUAUUUACAAUAUCAUAUGUUUUAAUAUUUCCAAAUUUACAAUGUAAACUAGUCGUGUAUAUUUAUAUAUUUUUAUUACAAAAUCAUCAAAGGAAUGAAUGUCAUUUAUAAUUUCUAUAUGUGAUGCUGUAUUGCUUAGCAUUUAUGAUCAACUUUUAUGUUUACAUAAACACUCAUUUAUUAAAACCUAAAACACAAUGCUCUUGAGUCGCAUUUAUAAAAUUUCAAGGAUCGGCUUUAAAUACGGACAUAAGGAAGUAAGACGUAAACAGUAAGAAUUUUAUCCUUAUGAAUUUUUUCAUCGUUCAUCUUACAUUUAACAUUAGAAAAUAUAGGGACGAAUAAUUGGCUACAAUUAAUGGAUUUUCUUAUAUCUUACAUCAAUGGAAAGGCCUAACAGUUACUGUAUUGUCAGAAAGUGUAUGUGAAAAUCCUAAAGGUUAAGUUAGAGACGCUACAACGUAUCAUAAGGAUGGGGUUUCUUUCGAGUCUUUCUACAGAACAUGAAGAACAAUUAGAAGUAAAUGACGGGCAUGAAUGUUCGCAAAAUGAAAACAAAUUAACAAUGCCCUCAAAUAUUGUAACAAUUUAUCGCAAACAGAAGGUUGUUUUAACAAAAAUAUCUUCUAACGAAAUAAAUUCCAUUGCUAUGGAAUAAGUAAUCUGUAAAGAUUAUCAACAUUAUGAGAGAAAUUAUUAUAAAAAAUGAUUUGGUAUUGUUCAAUGAAAAUAAUUCGAAAGGAAUUUACGUAAAAAUAAAAAUUAAAGAAAAUGAAGAUUAUGAGUCUCCAUUCUAUGAGCAUAUUUCUUUGGAAUACGGAAGGUGAGAAUUGUUUCUCUUGAAGCUCAUCUAUAAUUAUCUUUAGUAACUAUUUAUAAAAAAAGUAAGCACUUAAAUAGAAAAUAAUAUCACAAAUAGAGAAAAAUGUGAAGAAUAAUGGAACAUGCUAUAAAUGAUCGCAUAUUGACAAACUUUUAAUCUUUUUAAAGAAACUGGUAAGCUUAUUGUUUUAUCUACCCAAAAAGGAAUAAAUAAAAAUAAAUCUAUUUCUAAAAGUAUGUACAAUAUAUUAAUUUUUAAUUUUAAUGGAUGAUUAAUCAGACAAUCCAGCAAUAAGCAAUGAUAAUGGUAUAAAUAAGAUAAAACUAGAAAAAAGAAAGUUUUGAUUAUAUAAUAAUAAUAAUAAUAAUAAUAAUAAUAAUAAUAAUAAUAAUAAUAAUAAUAAUAAUAAUAAUAAUAAUAAUAAUAAUAUUGAAUGAAACAAUAAAAACUGGGCCUGAAUGGAACAUGCGAUUUCCAAAUUUAUGGUACUGCAUUUAACUAUUGCUAGCAUAUGUUGAUAUUUGACAAAUGAUUUGUCUCUAGCACUAAAACAGUAUGGUAUAAUUCAAACAAUUUCUUAUUAAAAACUGAGUAGUGCAUUGCAUUCAUAUAGCAUUCGUUAUUUCUAUAUCAAUAAUACAUUCUUUAUUUUCCAUUGAUUAGGUCAAAUCUGAAAUUUUGUUUGUUUUGAUUUUUGAAACAAAUUGUUCCUUAUAUUGUCACGUAUUUUACUGUUUUGCUCUAUGUUGUGAGUGAUCUUGUCUCUUAUUGCAUUUCCCAGUGUAGUAAUUUGUGAAUGAAAUAUUGUAUAGAGAUAUUGUACAAAUGUUGUAACAUGUUCCAAUUAAGCUUUUGUGGAGGAUCCAAUUGGUUUUCUUAUUGCUAGUGUUAGUAUUGUUGGUCUUCUUAAUCUUACCAAAUCAAAUAGUCUGUAUUCUCAUUUGGCACCAAAUUAAAACGCAUGAAAUGGAUACAAAAAGGACAAUAAAUUUUAUAACAAUAGUCAUUAAUAAUUAUUAAUAGUCUACAAUAAUUAAUAAUUAUCAAAUACUUGAUACAUUAUCAUUUAAGCUUAAUCUGCAAAUAUAGAACCACUUUUGACGUAUAGUUAAAUCCUUUAGAAAACUGAAAUUGAUUAUAUAUUGCUAUUAUUUAUUAGAAGAAAUUUAUUAAAUAAUAUAAAUAUUUCUUAUACACCUAUCUGUAGAAUGAAAUAAUUUCUAUUUUUUAUAUUUUUCAAUCAUGCAUAAUUUAGGCAUUUUCAUACAAAAAAUCUGUAAUAUAUUUUAAUAAUAUAAUACAAAAAUUAUUAAAAAUUUUUAAGAAUAUAUUAAAUUAAUAAGUUUCUUAUUACUUUAAUCAAUGUUUUAGCCAGUUUUAGGACAAAAGUUAGCUUAUUUUCUUUUAUUGAAAAAAUUGUUACAUAUGCGUAUAACCAACAAAUAAUAUAUUUCCGGUAUUUUUUGACCACAAAUAGCAGUAUAUGUCUCAUAUAUGAGUAUAUAUGAUAUAUAAUAAUAAUGUUCUGCCCACAGGUUCUUCUCGACCUUCAAUGUAUAUAUUUGAUAUAAUAAUCUUUUUUAUGCAAGUACUUAUUAUAGAAUCAAAAAAAAAAAAUUUUUUUUACCUCAGAUGGCAUUUGUAACUACAAUUAUCGAUAAAGUUUGAAAGUUGUGUCUCUCAAAUGUAGUGUUCAAUAGAUAUUUCCAUUUUUAUAUAAAAUAUAGAGAAUAAUUAAUUUAUUUUAAGUAUCUCUAUCAUUAUAUAUGUAAAACAUAUUCACGAAUAGAUUGUAAACUUAUUUGUAAUUAACAAACACUUCAACACAAAAUAUACAUUUCAUGAUUGUUAGUUUUAUAAUAAUUAGUUAUAGCAAAUAGAAUAGAGCACAGCGUAUUUUCCUAUUCAAUGACAAACUGUGCAUAUACACGAAAAUACACGUAUUAAUAUAAUUAUAA